This is a long non-coding RNA of Zingiber officinale, 877 nucleotides long. RefSeq lists it as uncharacterized. NCBI's taxonomy places the organism in Eukaryota, Viridiplantae, Streptophyta, Magnoliopsida, Zingiberales, Zingiberaceae. The record is from RefSeq and is a predicted model, not a curated record. The transcript has 3 exons.
AAUAAUAAGGAAUUAUAUAGUUAUAUAUAUCUUUAUUGGAAUGUGAUAACUUUCUGGAUUUAUCUUUUUAUCAAACUUAGGAAUAAGCAAUUUGAUUAGGGUGGAAAGGGUCUAUAAAAUUUAUCGAAGACCUAUUUAAGGAGGGGUUAUUAAUUAAAAAGGGAGAUGAGUUGCCCUAGCCUUGUCUCGCUGCAAUAUAUAGAGCCCUUUCCCUCACGACUUUUCACUAAACACCACGCCUACGGAGCCGACGCCAUGCUCACCUCGACCCGGCGCCGCCUCUCUCUCGUGCAGUCCCGUCGGUAAAGCACCUUCCUCUGCCACCCUUCGCCACAGACACCUCGUGCGCCCCUUGCAGCUGCGACCAUGUGAGCAUUGGGCUAGGGUUGGGAGAUUGCUAGAGAUGGAGAUGUCGCUGACACCGCGUCGCCCAUGUCCAGUGUCCAACCGAGCAGAGGGACUAGGGUUAGUGGUUUGCGAUUCUACCGCCACCGCCGACAACAACCUCAAACCCUGGGACUCUAUUCCCUCUGCCAGCCACGGUGAUCUGCUGCCGAAAAAGGAGAAGUAGGAUUUGAGCGCGAGAGAGAGCAUCGGAUUUGAAGACUACUAGAAUGUUCUCCAUUAGAGGUUAGCAAGUAGGAAAUAUCCAUUUAUAUUUCAGGUUAGCAGGUAGGAAAUAAAGUCAUGUCGCUCGGAGGUCUCGAUUCUUGAUCCCACAUCGUGCGAGAUGUCCUUGGUUUAUUUUUGGUUGUCAUAGCUUUUUGAACUUUUGGUAUUCGAAAUUUGCUUUGAAAUUUGUUAUGAAAACAUGUUUUGUUUUGACUUUCUUAGUCACUCUACUUGGUUGGUUUGUAAAUAAAGUAUGUUAGUUGUU